This is a non-coding RNA of Hordeum vulgare subsp. vulgare (domesticated barley), 125 nucleotides long. The record is from Rfam. NCBI's taxonomy places the organism in Eukaryota, Viridiplantae, Streptophyta, Magnoliopsida, Poales, Poaceae.
UUAGUACUCCCUCCGUCCGGAAUUACUUGUCACAGAAAUGGAUACAAAUGGAUGUAUCUAGAACUAAAAUACAUUUAGAUACAUCCAUUCCUACGUCAAGUAUUUUCGGACGGAGGGAGUAAUAA